CCUUGGUGUUUUCUAUACGCAAGAUUAUGCCAUCUGCAAAUAGAAGCAGUUUUAAUUCUUCCUUUACUCUCAGUCUGCUUUUAAUGAGCUAUUAUGUCUUCUGUUCUGUAUUGGUCAAACCCUCACCUGGAUCACAGUAUUUAUUACUGACCAUCACAGUUUCCUUGAGGAAAUGAAAAAAAUUAAAAAGAUAAAGUAACUAUUACCAUAAUCCCUACAUUCGGACACAAUAUUUAUGAGCAUGUGGGGUAAAUUCUUCCAGACACUCUUGCUAGAGGACGUGUAGCAGAGCUUAUGAUGCACUGAGCCACAUCCUCCAGCCACCAGAUUCCAGUGUAGCUGUGGUGAACUUUGCCUUGCACUUUACCAGUGUCCAUAUAAGCUCAUAUCACAGUGUCUUUCUGUUUUGCUUUCUGGAGGUCAGGGAAGCCUGCUGAGCUAUAUGUAGACCCAACCCAUAUUUUCAAGGUAAUACUCCUUAGUUGAUAGAAGCCCUCAGUCGAUGGGAACAGGAUUUCAUGGAUUAAUGCCCCAGCUCCCCCAUCCUGCAGGACAUAGAAUGUGUGACUAUCCAAGAUGCUUGCAACAUGGUUUCUCAGAGUUCCCAAUGGAAUUGAAUCCCAGCUGCAUACAACUGUAACCCACUCAUUUAUUAACUUUUCUCCCUUCCUCUUUCCCUUCACUUCUGUUUCCUAAGACUACUUCCCUCUAAAUGAUCUGCACCCAAGUCCUUGUCUCAAGGUCUUCUAGAGAAACCCAAACUAAGGCAGUUUGUCAAGGGACAAACUAGGGUACAUCUUUGAAACAGUCAUUAGGAGAGUGAGAGGUCCUGCAACGAUGUAAUAUAAAAGCAGUGAAAAUAGCUGAGAAAAUUAGAAAAAGAGAAAACUUACAGGAAUAAUCAUAGUCAUCUUUAAAUACCUGCAAAGUAAUCAGAUAUAAGAGGACCAAAGGAGACACUGGUUUUAACUGAGCACCUUCCAGGUUAUAUACUAGCUACUAUGAAGUGUAUUUAUUCCAUCCUUACAGCAACCCAGAGGCAAUGAGAACUACCCUUAUUUUUCAAAUAAGAAAACUGAGACACAGAUGAUUAAGGAAUUUGCCAAGGUCCAAAGCUAACAGGUAUUGGAACUAGGAUUCAAAUCCAAGCCUGUCUGCCCCCUAACCUGUGUCUUGCUGCUGUGUGUUUUGCUUUGAAGGGCAAAACAGAGACCAGCAGGUAGACAUUCUAAAUCCAUAGAAUUGUGUUUAUAUGAAUGCAGUGUGUGGCAGAGAUUGUCUAGAUGUUCAUCAAUGCUGUUUUCUCUGUUCUGUUUCUGGACAUACAGGAACACUUCAUGUCCUAGCCUCCUUUAUAAGUAGAUUGGGGCCAUGUAACAGGGUUCUGGCAAAUGGGAAUGUGCAGAUGUGAUAUGUGAUGCUCCUGAUUCAUUCAUUCUGUCUCUUUCUCUCUCUCCCUCUCAGCUAGCUGAAAGCAGAGAACCCAGCAGAGGAUUCUGGGAAGGUCCUGGGGGAUGGCAGAGCCAGCAGAGAGAGGGUAUGGAUCCACCAGGCAUAGGAUGGAACAGAGCACUAUUGACCACAGUGAACUGGGGCAUGGGCAAUCAAUAAACACAUAUUAGAUUAAGCUAUUGAGACUCAGGGAUUUUUAUACAACUGACAUUCCCUAAGAAGCCAUGAUCUUCCUGUCUCAGGAGGUGCAUAAGCAGUGGUUGAAUGUUCAACAGUCAAGAAUGUUAUAAAAAGAGGUUCUUGGGAGAGUGGACCUGAUGGCCAGCAAAAAUCAUAGCUCACAUUUAUUGAGUUAUUAUGGCUCAGGCAUGUGCACAUAUUCUUUUAUUUAAAUCUACAAUAUGCUUUAUCAUGCUCAUUUUAUACAUGAGGAACACAAGGCAUGGAGAGGUUAGAUAACAUGCCUAAGAUCAUGAAGCAAGCAAGGGGGAGAAAAGAUACCCUUCUCACUCCUUCCAGACAGCUCACUUCACCACCACUCCCCACUGUCUCUAAAGCAAAAGUUAUUUGAAGGCUUAGGGACUGGUUUGGUAUUAUCCAUGCAGGGCGGUUUGUUUUGUUUUUCUUUUAAAAUUUCAGCCUAUGCUUAAAAGAUUUCAUGUAAAAAUUCUGUUUUCUAGUUUCUCUUGAAAAUUAAGAAGAUCUGGUAAAACUGGGCUUGAAGACCAUUAUGGUAACAGGCUGCUGAAGCUGAGGAGAGGGCCCCUUCAGAUGGGCAUAAGCACUGCUCCCCCUCCCCAACCCCCCUUUUAGGUUACUAUCAGACUCUGGAAGCUUCUGAAUGUGUGAACCCUGAAAGAGUCCAUCUAAAGCUAAGUUCUCCCCAGGGGUAGAGCCCAAUGCUGGGCAUACAGUAGGGACUCAAUGGAUAUUUAUCAAAUGAAUGAAUACAGGUGGAAUUCAGAUCCGUUUGGCCUCUCUUUUCUGUGACUGGGGACCACUGAACCUGAGUCACUAAGUGAUAACUCACAACACAAAUUUUCUUCUUGUUCCAAGCAGCCAGGACCCAGGUUCUAGGUAUCUAAAAAUGCUGUGCCUGACUUGAGUUCGCAAUGACAUUUUUUAUCAACUGAAAAUGUUUACUUCUGUGCAACCAGCCAAAGCUGGGGGUAAGCAGCCCAGUGGGGUGCGCUGAUUCUAUCUUAGAUUACGCUGUGCACAAUGGACUCUUUGUAAAGUCCUUAUGGCGGGGAGUGGCCAGGCAGGCAUCUCCUGCACCCAGCUCUGGAGACUCACUUGCCACAAAGCUGAAGAAGGACGGGGCAGUUUUAAUAUACCUGGCUUAGAAAAGCCACAGACUGUUGGACUUACAUGUGGGUGUGUAAGCCCCACACAGAAGCAGCUUUUUCUCCAGCAUUGUUAACAAAGCUCAUUUAGAGGAAUGCAAGUCUGGGGCACGGCCUGGAUGGGCAGCAUGACGCACACACCACAUAAGCUCCAGACGCUCACUGAUCCCCUUCACAGAGGCUGAGCCUGCCCACCCAACCCUGCCCUCGCCCUCACCCUCACCUCCGCAGCCGGACCUGGGAUAGCACUGCUUUUCUUGAGAGGACUGAGUCUUAGCAUUGAGGAUGGGAAGGGGAGUGUAAGGGCUCUUCCAGGAGAGAAUCUCCUGCUUAUUUGCAUGGAGGAAGAAGGGAGCCUUUCCCAGUGCCUACACGUCUGAGUCCCAAUUGUGAGAGAAAAUGAAUUGCUUAAAGUUGCAGUUCUCAACCAGAGGUGAUUCCCCUCCCAGGGGAUAUUUGCAACACUUGGAGGGAUUUUUCAUGGUAAUGACUUGGGAGGGGAAUAAGGGAGGUGGUGCUAUGGGCAUCUGGUGAGUGGAGGCCAGGGAUGCUGCUGAGCAUCCUACAAAGCAUAGGACAGCCCCUCAUGGCAAAGCAUUACUCACCCCAAAUGUCAGUGUGCCAAGGUGGAGAAACCCUGACUUAAAGGAGGGCUUUUAUUACCUUUUAAGCUUAAGAAUUAUAAAAGGCAAUUUAUUGUUUUAUAAUUUAAAAAAAGGGUUAUUUUAAAUAUGGACAAAUAUGCUGAACUUCCCAAGUAUCACCUUCUUUCAUUAUUUGUGAUAACAGUCUUGGCAUAUAGCA
This 3602-nucleotide long non-coding RNA is filed under the name Homo sapiens (human). RNAcentral describes it as "non-protein coding ZBED3-AS1:25". Lineage: Eukaryota; Metazoa; Chordata; Mammalia; Primates; Hominidae. The record is from RNAcentral.